GGCGACAGAGCAAGACUCAAUCUCAAAAAAAGAAAAAAAAAGGAAAAGAUUAAAGGCAGCUCACAGGCUCAGAGGGAAGCCACUAGUUAUGCCACUCUCCUUUCCACAUUCUGCCCUCCUCUGUGGUUUUGUCUCUUACUGAACAGGGACUCCUAGCAGGCAUCUGCCCUCAUUCUGCUCUGCACCCAAGGUUUUGCAGUUGGUAUUUGCCACAACCUUCCUGAUAUUAACUUGGAUGUCGGCCUCUCCCUUCCCCACCAGCUCCCCACCUCCAGCCACCUAAGAUUUUGGGGAAAUGAAAAACAGUGGCCCUUCAAAACAAAAGGGCCCCAGUGAGCAUUGGGAAGCCAAUAGGCUUGAUGGGACUGGGGAGACCAAGGCAGGAGAGAGAAUUGGAACGGUGGAAAGGGAACACCACCAAAUGGAUGGGUCACUUGAGGAACAUUUGCUGCCCUCCUGCUGUGCAGGAGGCACUGCACUCAACCCUGUGGCCUGGACAUGCCAUGAGUGAAUUCAGGUCCCAUCUCACAGAGAAUACACAGCUUAGCUAGUGUACUCACUGUGCUUGGUUGAGGAGUCUGAAGUUGAUAACAUACACAAUAAAUGAUGUUUGAGAAAGAUUAUUCCAGCAGGGUGUGUAGGAGGAAGGAAAAAGAAAGGACAGUGUAGCAGCUGCUGUGAGAAUUUGGGCCAAAGGUGGAAUCUAUGGGGCUGGAGGGGAAAGGGUGAAGGAGAAAAGUAAUGAACAAACAAUAUAUUUUGAAAUAAAAGCAACAAAGGGAAGAAUUUGAUAAGAUAUCAGACAUAAGGAUGAUGAAGGAGAGAAAGUAGUUAAACAUUAAUCUACCUUUGCAGUGAGUUUCAGGACUGGGAGGGUCAUGGUGGGCAAUGGGGAGGAGCUGGUGUGAGGGACAUGAAUAUGAGUUCAGUCACUUCUAGGCCAUGUAAGGGCAGGUGUCCCGUAGGUGACUGGACUUGGAGAUAGGGAAGUCCAGAAGAGCAGUGGGCUGCUGUCUGAGAGUGUCCCUGUCAUAGCCUCGAGCAAUCACUGACCUGGGAUCACGGACAGAUUUCAAGCAUCAGGAAGAAGGAUCCUCUUCCUCGGCUCCCUACUCCGCCACUACCCCAGAACAAACUCCUACCUCUGUUUGCAACUAAGAGUUACAUCCCCCAUGCCAAGACCUUCCGAGGCGUCCCAGAGGGGUGAGGUUUGGGGAAAACAGAACAUGUACACAGCAGCUGUGUGCCUGGCCACACCUGUCGGGUGGGGUGAGGAGAGUGCUCCUCCCAGGUGGGCAGAGCCUGCUGCGCUCAGGCUGGGGGCUGGGAGACGCUUUAAUACAGGGGCUAGAUGGCAGAGAGAUGCGCAAACCGGCCACGUGGAGGUCCAGCGCGGUAGGGUCGGGCGCAAGCAGAGGAGCGGGCCGUACGCUCGCCCCUCCCGUUCCAGGGAGCCGCCGAGUGCCGGGUCGUCGCUGACCGCAGGCUGCAAGAGCGGUUGAUCUGGUGAGCGAGCACACCCACUUACCCAGCUGCUGAGUCAGGCUGUUCUCGCUCGCGCUCGCCCGCCCGCCCGCCCGCUCGGGACAUUGUGUUCCAGCCCCGGCGCGCUGGCAGCGGGCCCAGGCGCUCACACCAGCCUCCUCGCCCUGUUUGUGCUCGCGGCUUGCGCUCGGCGCGCAGCCUCCCGGCCGCCGCAACCAUGCGAUUGCACGCUGGGGCAGGGGCUGGCCAGCAACCUCCGGGGUGCGCGUGGGCCCCGCAGCCCUGCCCACUCACCGGCCUUGGAGCACCCAGGCCUAGCCAUCCCCCAUUUGCCCCUGGUUGGGUACCCCAGGCUUGGGUGGCGCCUGGAUUAGCACAGCUGGGGGAGGGAGCAGGUGUGGGGAGCUCUACGAGCAGAAGGAGCCACCCAGGCUGCCGCCAGCGCUCUCCAGCGCUCAGUCCGUGCCUCUCCAGCGCUCAGUCCAGGAGGCAAGAGGAGGAUAGCUGGAGCUCGCCAGCCCCAGACUUGCGAGACCUGGGACGCAGUCAUGUGACAACGGAAGCCCGUGUUGAGGGGGCCAAUUCAAGCAAUCCCCAGGAGGAGCCUCCCCUUUCCUAGCCUCCCUUCCCUGAUCCUUCACAGCAGCCUGGAACACGGAGACUCCAGGGAUUCCCGGGGCUGGCAAACCAAGCCCAGCCCUUUUGGACGGUUUGGGAAAUCCCUGGCAGGACGCCGGGAGUAGGGAGAGCCCAGACACUGGCGGGUGGGUGUGGACGACAGGGUGGAAGAAGGGCAAGGCCAAGGAAGACGACCCCAAGAUGACCCUGGAAUCUGACCCUUCCCUGUGUUUAGCUCCAAACCCCCGGUUUAUUCAGAGCCACGUUUUCUCCUUACCCAUCCUUCUGUGGAAAGACAUCACUAAGUGCUGGUCCUAAAGAUCCCACUGUCUCCAAACCAGGGAGGGGACAAAACAUUUAUAUAGCACGUCUGCCAUGAGGAAGGCUCUGUGUUGGGUCCUGCUAGAGAAUGUCACUAUGAGGUUAAGACACAGUCCUGAAGUCCUUUGUUCUCUCUCCUUCCCACCUUCACAGUUUGCUGUGCCAUUUCUCAUGCCAGGAGUGCCCGUCCUCCCUGUCUACCCAUCUCUGCUGCUCCAGUUCAUAAAGCUUCCUUGAAACAGUGCCAGCCAAAUCUGAUUCCCGUCUCCUCUGAACGCCCAGCACACUCAGUUUGUACCUUUCUCACGGCACAGCGUGUGGCCUGUCUCAUAUUCUAGCGAUCUGUUUACUAAUCCUGUUCUUCUAACCAGAUUAGAAAGUCCUUGAGGCAGAAACAAAGUCUGCUUCUUCUUUGAGCCCUCUCCUCUACUGCCCCCGCCUCCCGCCACCAUUCCAACUCAUCCCCCACAGGCCAGGCUCGGCACCGGAGUUCAUGUUCAAUAAAUAUUGGGUGUAUUGAAAUGA
Molecule: non-coding RNA, 2949 nt
Organism: Macaca mulatta (Rhesus monkey)
Lineage: Eukaryota; Metazoa; Chordata; Mammalia; Primates; Cercopithecidae
Source: RefSeq, a predicted model, not a curated record